This 1053-nucleotide long non-coding RNA is filed under the name Medicago truncatula (barrel medic). RNAcentral describes it as "long non-coding RNA (MTRU_LNC008754)". The record is from RNAcentral. Lineage: Eukaryota; Viridiplantae; Streptophyta; Magnoliopsida; Fabales; Fabaceae.
UACACUUCAUUCGGUAUUCCAUAGUAUGACGUUGUAUAGUUGAUCAACAUCAGUUCCUGAGCUAAGGCUGAUUCAUCUAUCGAGCACAUAAAUGUGUUAAGAAAGUAAAGAAUUCCUUGUGUAACGCCUACUACACUAUUAUUUAAGGUCAAUAGUUGGUUUUGAACUUAGUGUCAUUGUUCAUGCCAUUCAGCUGUUACAUGGCUGAUUAAAUGUUUUGUUGGCUAAGUUCCUUUGUUGUGACCAUGGCCCUGUUUGGAUAAAGAACUUAGGGGUGUGUUUGGUUUGCAAAACAACAAGUACUGGACAGAACAGUACAAGAUAGAACAGUACAACACAAGGCAGAACAGCACAGGACAAAAUUUUUAUGGCAUUGAGUAAUUUUUUGUUUUAUACGAUUUUUGAGGGACAAAAUGCUAUUUUGGUAUUUUAGACAACUUGUGCGUGGGACAAAAAGUUGUGCUGUGGUUUGGUGAGGGUCAAAAAUAUGAGUUUUUGUCCUGUCCCUUGCCUCCAGUUUGUCCUGUACCUGAAACAGUUUUACAAAUCAAACACUGGACAACUAGAGUUGUUCUGUCCUGUCCUUCAUUUUUUAGCAAAUCAAACGCACCCUAGGUAAGUUUUUAUAGCAUAAACACUUAUCAUAUAAGUGCUUAUGUAUAAACUUUUUCUAUAGCUAAAGAUAAAAUAAAGUCAGACUGUUUUCGUAUAAGCUGUUUCCAAAAAACUAUUAUGGAGAGCUUAUGAGUAUGUUAGUUGUUUCUGUAAGCUCUACCAAACAAUUUCACAAGUGUUUAUACUGUAGAUAAACUCGAAUAAACCAAUCCAAACGGGCCCUAUGUCAUGUUAUCUUGAGCUUUAAGAUAGAUAUAUAUAUAUAAUUGCGAAAUGAAGGAAGAUCUCUUGCCUUCGAUAUCCAAAUAAUUCUUGUGUUUUUAUUUCUAGUAUACUCUCAAGAAUACAUAAUAAUCUUGCUAAAUUUGAGAAAGAAUGCCUACUUAUUUUAUUUUGUAAGUGAAGGUUGUUAACAUUUUCAUCAUUUAAAAAUCAGUG